UACGAGGGGGGCUAGCGUUGUUCGGAAUUACUGGGCGUAAAGCGCGCGCAGGCGGUUCUUCAAGUCAGAGGUGAAAGCCCAGGGCUCAACCCUGGAAUGGCCUUUGAGACUAGAGGACUAGGGUACGGGAGAGGUGAGUGGAAUUCCGAGUGUAGAGGUGAAAUUCGUAGAUAUUCGGAAGAACACCAGUGGCGAAGGCGGCUCACUGGCCCGUUACCGACGCUCAGGCGCGACAGCGUGGGGAGCAAACAGG
This 253-nucleotide ribosomal RNA is filed under the name uncultured bacterium. Its description in RNAcentral is "partial 16S ribosomal RNA". It matches the Rfam family "Bacterial small subunit ribosomal RNA", at positions 524 to 776 of the family's 1533-position model. The record is from RNAcentral.